CAAUACUCUGAUCAAUAAAUGCAUACCUAGGCAUACCUAGGCAGCCAUGGUGACAAAGCACGAUGUCUUUCCUUCAGAUAUUUGAUGCUGAAUAGAAUGCAUGAAACAUCAGCUAAAUUUGUGCAUCUUCCAUUCAGUGGGAAAAAGAAGAAAAAGUCUGAGGCUGGAUAUCCACACCAUCCAGAGAGAGAAUGUCCAAAAGGUGGAUUAGCACUCUGACACUAUGAAUAUUUUAGAAAGGUGGAAGUAUUACAGAGGGAACUAUCAGAAGUUAAAAUGCCAGGUCCUGGAUUUGUUCAGCUGGGCAGCUGGCCACGCUGCAGAAAGAGCUGAUGUUAUCUGACCCGGAUCGCUCAUGGAAGGAAUGCCAGCCUCCCCAGAAGGUCGCGGAGGAGAGAGCGAGGAUUGAAGGGAAGGAGAACAAAGAAGAUCACCAAGAUUGUGCCCGAGCUACUCAAUAAAAACCAAAGCCAGGUGGCAUUGACUGGGUUGUAUGCGCCCUGUUUGGGGAUAACUCCCUGUAGAGUUACAUAGCAUUUUGUUUUGUCUCUCUUUUGGGCAUCAUAGGGUACCCUCCUGGCCUCGUGACAUCAUUAGUAUUUUUCUGUGUCAUUUUCUUCUGUUCAAAGAUCUGAAAAAACUGGGGGGGCUUUGUUGCUGCCAGUUACCAAAAUGUUUCUGUAGCACGAAAUUGAAAGUAUGUGUUACAUGUCUGGA
Molecule: long non-coding RNA, 717 nt
Organism: Aquila chrysaetos chrysaetos
Lineage: Eukaryota; Metazoa; Chordata; Aves; Accipitriformes; Accipitridae
Exons: 3
Source: RefSeq, a predicted model, not a curated record